Triticum aestivum (bread wheat) is the source of this 660-nucleotide long non-coding RNA. RefSeq lists it as uncharacterized. Lineage: Eukaryota; Viridiplantae; Streptophyta; Magnoliopsida; Poales; Poaceae. The record is from RefSeq and is a predicted model, not a curated record. The transcript is spliced from 3 exons.
GGCGGAAGGGGCUCGAGGUGGCCGCCGUCGCCGCGGAAGACCAAUCCCCCACCUUGUCCAGAAUCGCUUCCUCCGCCAUGUUCCACCGAGGAAGUGAAAAUACAUGCAUUCGGCGUUCAGGACUAAACAGGAAAGAACCUGAACCCCAAGGUGGCACUCAGUUUUCUGUGUUUCAGUCGCAGUGCAAGUUGCAGGCACUCUACAUGGACGAGAAUUUAUCACUAUCACUGGUUUUGUUUCUUCAGUAAAAAGCAUUGUCUACUACCUAUCGAGUUGAAACUGAUGAAGUUGUUUCUGUAGUUAUUAGCCCUAUAAAUAGCAAUGCGUGUGUUGCAUCUGAUGUGCAUGAGUUCAACCUAGCGAUCUCCUGGGAGAAGAAAAACAGAGCCACAACAGCCCUGACGAAGAUCUCCAUCUGUGGUCCGAGGACCAACCAUGACGUCGAGCUGCUACAGCUUGGAGUCAGGAGUCGUGUUCGCACCCCGGCGUGUCCCAGUAUGUGCUUUGGAAGAGAUGCGUCAAUCUCAGAAGACCCUGAUGCGUCCACAUUAUUUGCUUCAGAAAUAGAUAGCAGCUCUCCGAUGUAGUAAGGAGAAAGCAAGAAUGACAGAGCAUCCUCGUGUCAAACUGAACACACCCUGUCACUUCUCCAUUAUUUAA